AAGACCAAUGGAGCAUAAUUUACAACAAAUCAUUUUAUCAAUAAUAAAACCUUUACCAUCCACUUACCUCGGUGAAAAUCAUAAAACCGUAUACGAAAGCAAUAACAUUAUCAUCAUCAUGAAAUCAUAUAAACUGUAUAACAUAAUACUUAUCACGCCUUUUGUAAUUCAAUCAUUACACAACAUAUUUUUCCUUAUUUACCAGCCUAUUAGUAUCCAUGGGGAUCCAUAGGAGUCCCGCUACCCGUGAACCUUUAACACUUGUAAUCAGAUUCCAAGGCCGUCCCCAUACCCUGUCCAGUAUGGGCGCCAAAACUAUAAACCUCAAUACCCCGUCCGGUAUGAGGGUGAAACGGGCCGUCCCCAUACCCCGUCCGGUAUGGGCGCCAAAACACAUAAGGUCUCCAUACCCCGUCCGGUAUGAGAGACCACAAUCCCGGUAGGGUUCCCUACGGACCCGGUCCGUCCACCAUCUCCCAAGAUAUCUAGUCAGGCUGACCACAUUAUACAAUUAUCAAUUUACAUAACUUUUCAUUCCCCUUUUCCUCAGUCAGCAUCAUCAAAUCACACACAAACAAGCAACCAGUAAUUUAUGCCAAACAAGACAACAUACAACAUCGGGUUCUCAGUCAUUCAACCCAUAAUCAAUAAAACAGUGAUAUAUGCACACGAAACUAUGAAAUAAAAACAUCAGACCUCAUACUGCAUUUGAAACCGUAAAAUAUGCCAAAUAACAGUUAACCGACCAACACACUAGACUCGGGCUCCAUUGGCGACCUUAAGCAAUUUCACACAUUCGUUGAUUCAAGAAUUACCGUUUUAUCAUUAUUGAACU
Molecule: long non-coding RNA, 835 nt
Filed under: Carica papaya (papaya)
Lineage: Eukaryota; Viridiplantae; Streptophyta; Magnoliopsida; Brassicales; Caricaceae
Description: long non-coding RNA (CPAP_LNC000656)
Source: RNAcentral